This 468-nucleotide ribosomal RNA is filed under the name uncultured bacterium. RNAcentral's name for it is "partial 16S ribosomal RNA". It matches the Rfam family "Bacterial small subunit ribosomal RNA", at positions 28 to 507 of the family's 1533-position model. The record is from RNAcentral.
GACGAACGCUGGCGGCGUGCUUAACACAUGCAAGUCGAACGGAAAGGCCCUGCUUUUGUAGGGUGCUCGAGUGGCGAACGGGUGAGUAACACGUGAGUAACCUGCCCUUGACUUUGGGAUAACUUCAGGAAACUGGGGCUAAUACCGGAUAGGAGCUCCUGCUGCAUGGUGGGGGUUGGAAAGUUUCGGCGGUUGGGGAUGGACUCGCGGCUUAUCAGCUUGUUGGUGGGGUAGUGGCUUACCAAGGCUUUGACGGGUAGCCGGCCUGAGAGGGUGACCGGCCACAUUGGGACUGAGAUACGGCCCAGACUCCUACGGGAGGCAGCAGUGGGGAAUAUUGCACAAUGGGCGGAAGCCUGAUGCAGCAACGCCGCGUGCGGGAUGACGGCCGUCGGGUUGUAAACCGCUUUCGCCUGUGACGAAGCGUGAGUGACGGUAAUGGGUAAAGAAGCACCGGCUAACUACGUG